Non-coding RNA from Emergomyces pasteurianus Ep9510, 114 nucleotides. The record is from the annotation of a GenBank genome assembly. Lineage: Eukaryota; Fungi; Ascomycota; Eurotiomycetes; Onygenales; Ajellomycetaceae.
GCAUCAUUGGUCUAGUGGUAGAAUUCAUCGUUGCCAUCUGACGCUCAGAAUGACCUCUGAGCAGUCAUGUGACCUCAACUCGAUGAGGCCCGUGUUCGAUUCACGGAUGAUGCA